This 268-nucleotide ribosomal RNA is filed under the name uncultured bacterium. RNAcentral's name for it is "partial 16S ribosomal RNA". It matches the Rfam family "Bacterial small subunit ribosomal RNA", at positions 28 to 293 of the family's 1533-position model. The record is from RNAcentral.
GACGAACGUUGGCGGCGUGCCUAAUACAUGCAAGUCAACUGAAAUACCGGUAGCAAUACUGGUAUGGAGGUGGCGCACGGGUGAGUAACACGUAGGUAAUCUGCCUUCAGGUCUGACAUAACCCAUCGAAAGGUGAGACUAAUAUCAGAUGAUGCAGCGGCUUGACAUCAAGACAGUUGUUAAAGCUUCGGCGCCUGAAGAUGAGCCUGCGUCUGAGUAGCUAGUUGGCGGGUAACGGCCCACCAAGGCUGCGAUCAGUAGCUGGUCU